RNAcentral lists this ribosomal RNA (377 nucleotides) under uncultured Gammaproteobacteria bacterium. Its description in RNAcentral is "bacterial SSU rRNA". It matches the Rfam family "Bacterial small subunit ribosomal RNA", at positions 521 to 896 of the family's 1533-position model. The record is from RNAcentral. Lineage: Bacteria; Pseudomonadati; Pseudomonadota; Gammaproteobacteria.
UAAUACGGAGGGUACAAGCGUUAAUCGGAAUUACUGGGCGUAAAGCGCGCGUAGGCGGUUAAGUAAGUUGGAUGUGAAAGCCCUGGGCUCAACCUAGGAACUGCAUUCAAAACUAUUUAACUAGAGUACGAGAGAGGAGAGUAGAAUUUCUGGUGUAGCGGUGAAAUGCGUAGAUAUCAGAAGGAAUACCAAUGGCGAAGGCAGCUCUCUGGAUCGUCACUGUCGCUAAGGUGCGAAAGCGUGGGUAGCAAACAGGAUUAGAUACCCUGGUAGUCCACGCCGUAAACGAUGAGAACUAGCCGUUGGGGAGAAUUAACUCUUCAGUGGCGCAGCUAACGCAUUAAGUUCUCCGCCUGGGGACUACGGCCGCAAGGCUA